RNAcentral lists this long non-coding RNA (1178 nucleotides) under Homo sapiens (human). RNAcentral describes it as "long non-coding RNA NONHSAT151439.1". Lineage: Eukaryota; Metazoa; Chordata; Mammalia; Primates; Hominidae. The record is from RNAcentral.
AGGACAGGCAGCUAGCCUCCCCUGGGGCAGGCAGGGACCAGAAGAGCCCCAGAGGGUCUUGUAGAACAGAGGCGGAGGAGGAGAGGACAGAAAGGACAGGGAGACAACCAAGCACGCUUAUAAAAACAUUCUUCCCGUGAUGGAGUGCUUCCUUUGGGCUUCUUCGGCUUGUAACAGAUUAAAGGCGAACAGGCAUUUGUCAUGGGGAAGUGUACCCAGUUGUGCUGGAAAAUGGACUUUUCGAUGAGCGUGAGAGCUUGAACCUGUCACAGAGGGGAGAGCCUGUGUUAUUGCAGCCUGCCGGGCCGCGGUGGCCGCUGCGGCUUAUCGGCUGUGGCAGGCAUCACCUACGACUGCAAGGAUCCCAUUACGGAGGCCCUGAAGAGACUGAAUGGGAGAGUGUGACUGCUCCCUGCAAAUCCUCCCCAUGUCUGGACUGAGGAAAUAGCUCGAAGCACCAUCCGUCUCCUGGUGGAGCAGCAGCAGCGUCCAGGGGCUGGGGGCUGAGGCUCCUUGUUUCCAACAAGCUCCUAGGUGAUGGAUGCUGCUGGCAGGUGCACCACACUGAGUUGCAAGACUCGUCCCUCCAGGCACCCCCUUCACAGGUUCAGCAUCCUCGCUGCCAUCUCCUCACAAAUGCGGGAAGGGAGCCACCACCCCAGGCUGGGCUAACUCGCAUGAGGACACCACUAACAUUGUCUGCGUUCCAUUUACGUUAGACAGGCAGGUCUACAAUGUUUGAAGUUUACAGAUUUCUUGGAUAUAGCAGUGAAAGGUUUGUAUUUUUUAUCUGUAAGGAAAAAUUGUGAAGUUUACAUCAUUGCAAAAUAAACAGAACUGUGACUUCUGUUUCACAGGCCUCUGAAGACAUACCCAUUCCUUUUCUUCUGAGCCCGCAGAAGACAACCCUGCCUAGCUUCUUUGCAGCUACGUGGAGACAUGUGACUAGUUUGGCCAAUGGGAUGUGAGAAGAGAUGAUGAAACUCGGAGGAGAACUUGUGAGAUCGCCGUGACUGCUUUUCCCCUGCCACAGUGGCUAAGAGGAUAAGGCUAUCAAGGGUGGAGCCUCUCUAGGCCUGGGUUCCUGGGUGCCUGUGUGGAGCCGAGACCCCAGGCUAACUCACAAUGAACACGCCGUGUGAGGAAGACGUAAAGCUUUAUGUAUUAAGCCACUGGAG